UACGGAGGGUGCAAGCGUUGUUCGGAAUUACUGGGCGUAAAGCGCGCGUAGGCGGCUUUGUAAGUUGGAAGUGAAAUCCCGAGGCUUAACUUCGGAAUUGCUUUCAAAACUACAAAGCUAGAGUAUGGCAGGGGACAGUGGAAUUCUUAGUGUAGAGGUGAAAUUCGUAGAUAUUAAGAGGAACACCAGUGGCGAAAGUGACUGUCUGGACCAUUACUGACGCUGAGGCGCGAAAGCGUGGGGAGCAAACAGG
RNAcentral lists this ribosomal RNA (253 nucleotides) under uncultured bacterium. RNAcentral's name for it is "partial 16S ribosomal RNA". It matches the Rfam family "Bacterial small subunit ribosomal RNA", at positions 524 to 776 of the family's 1533-position model. The record is from RNAcentral.